RNAcentral lists this ribosomal RNA (496 nucleotides) under uncultured bacterium. RNAcentral describes it as "partial 16S ribosomal RNA". It matches the Rfam family "Bacterial small subunit ribosomal RNA", at positions 28 to 507 of the family's 1533-position model. The record is from RNAcentral.
GACGAACGCUGGCGGCGUGCCUAAUACAUGCAAGUCGAACGAAAAGACCCGGAGCUUGCUCCGCUCACGUUAGCGGCGGACGGGUGAGUAACACGUGGAUAACCUACCUAUAAGACUGGGAUAACUUCGGGAAACGGGAGCUAAUACCGGAUAAGAUAUUGAACCGCAUGGUUCGAUGGUGAAAGACGGUGUUGGUGUCACUUAUAGAUGGAUCCGCGCGUGAUUAGCUGGUUGGUAAGGUAACGGCUUACCAAGGCAACGAUGCCUAGCCGACCGGGAAGGGGGUCGGCCACCUGUGGAACUGAACAACGCCCCAGACACCUAGGGAGGGCAGAGGUAGGGAAUCUUCGGAAAUGGGGGAAAGCCUGACGGAGAAACGCGGGGGGGGUGAGGAAGGUCUCCGGACGGUAAAACCCGGUUAUAGGGGAAAAACAAAUGUGUAGGUAACGAUGCACGUCUGACGGGAACCAAAUAAGAAGCCCCGGCUAAAUACGUG